Regulatory RNA element from Anopheles darlingi, 114 nucleotides. It matches the Rfam family "Potassium channel RNA editing signal". Rfam says of the family: This family represents a group of sequences related to the human potassium channel Kv1.1 hairpin element which directs the efficient modification of an adenosine to inosine by an adenosine deaminase acting on RNA (ADAR). NCBI's taxonomy places the organism in Eukaryota, Metazoa, Arthropoda, Insecta, Diptera, Culicidae. The record is from Rfam.
GUGGGGUACGGGGAUAUGGCACCGAAGACCUACAUUGGUAUGUUCGUUGGUGCACUGUGUGCGUUGGCCGGUGUAUUGACGAUCGCCCUGCCCGUACCGGUUAUCGUCAGCAAC